CCUCAUAGGAGGAGGAAAACCUUCCUUCGAACCCGCCCUGUCCCUACUCGCCCCACACGUGGGUUAGAAGUAGAAAGGAAACCACCCUUCCUCCUCCGGAUCUGCCCUGCUGCCCACCGUCGCUGGCUCCUAGCACGUCCCCCUACUGCCAGGUCGCCACCACAGCUCCCCUUUCCCUCUUCCGCAUGCACGCUGCAAUAUAAGGAUAAAGAUGUUGAAACACCAGAAACGUGAUAUUGCAACAGCGUACGACGAACUACUGCAACAAUAAGUUGUAGCAGUUGAAACAUCAUGAAUGUAUAAAAAGUGCAACAAAAAAAGGACAAGAGUUCCAACACUGGGAUGAUGAAUUUGAAACACCUUGAACAUAUUAUUGCAACAAACAAAGAAAAAACAACUGAAACAUUUGGCUGCAACUACUGAAACACAAUAAACAUGCUACUACAACAACACCCGAACACCUGCUGCAACAUGCAAAUUGAACAAAAACAACACAAACAAUACUGCAACAACAAAUAAAAACCUAAUACAACAUAUAGAAAGAACCAUUGCAGCAAUAGCAAGAUCUGAACCCGAGAGCUCGCUGGAACCUAGCCUAUUGCAACAUUACCUGAAAACAUACAUCAACAACCAGAGAACACUAUUGCAACACGCGCGAGAACAGAACCCCGAGAGCUCGUUGGAACCCUAGCCAUCACCACAUCCCUUAGAUCUAGACCCAGAGAAGAAGGACAAGGACAACGAGGAGGAUGAGAAGCAGCAACAGCAGCAGCAGCAACAACAACAACAACAACAACAACAAUAAGAGGAGGAGGAGGAGGAAGAGGAGAAAUAAUCAGAUCUAGGACACACCUACCUCGCCGGAAAGCUAUGUUGCAGCCCUCAUCUCUAGUGGCAUGGAGGUCGCUGAUGGGGAAAGGAGGAAGGCGGGGAGGGAGAGAUGGCGUGGCUCACCGGAAGCCGCCGCGUCGCCCUCAACUCCUGCCCCAUGGAGGUCGUGGAAAGCAGAGAAAGUGAGGGAGGGAGGGAGAAGGGGGAGGAGAGAGGCAGGUAAGGAGAGAUAGCAUAGCUCGCUGGUAGCUGCUCGCCGGUAGUGCGAGAGGGAGGAAGGGCGACGGCGUCUGAAUGGAGCGAGACAGGAAG
RNAcentral lists this long non-coding RNA (1143 nucleotides) under Sorghum bicolor (sorghum). Its description in RNAcentral is "long non-coding RNA (SBIC_LNC003732)". Lineage: Eukaryota; Viridiplantae; Streptophyta; Magnoliopsida; Poales; Poaceae. The record is from RNAcentral.